Molecule: ribosomal RNA, 726 nt
Filed under: uncultured Bacilli bacterium
Lineage: Bacteria; Bacillati; Bacillota; Bacilli
Description: bacterial SSU rRNA
Rfam family: Bacterial small subunit ribosomal RNA
Source: RNAcentral
GACGAACGCUGGCGGCGUGCCUAAUACAUGCAAGUCGAGCGAAUCUGAGGGAGCUUGCUCCCAAAGAUUAGCGGCGGACGGGUGAGUAACACGUGGGCAACCUGCCUGUAAGACUGGGAUAACUCCGGGAAACCGGGGCUAAUACCGGAUAAUAUCUAUUUAUACAUAUAAUUAGAUUGAAAGAUGGUUCUGCUAUCACUUACAGAUGGGCCCGCGGCGCAUUAGCUAGUUGGUGAGGUAACGGCUCACCAAGGCGACGAUGCGUAGCCGACCUGAGAGGGUGAUCGGCCACACUGGGACUGAGACACGGCCCAGACUCCUACGGGAGGCAGCAGUAGGGAAUCUUCCGCAAUGGACGAAAGUCUGACGGAGCAACGCCGCGUGAGUGAUGAAGGUUUUCGGAUCGUAAAACUCUGUUGUUAGGGAAGAACAAGUACCGGAGUAACUGCCGGUACCUUGACGGUACCUAACCAGAAAGCCACGGCUAACUACGUGCCAGCAGCCGCGGUAAUACGUAGGUGGCAAGCGUUGUCCGGAAUUAUUGGGCGUAAAGCGCGCGCAGGCGGUUCCUUAAGUCUGAUGUGAAAGCCCACGGCUCAACCGUGGAGGGUCAUUGGAAACUGGGGAACUUGAGUGCAGAAGAGGAAAGUGGAAUUCCAAGUGUAGCGGUGAAAUGCGUAGAGAUUUGGAGGAACACCAGUGGCGAAGGCGACUUUCUGGUCUGUA